This 497-nucleotide ribosomal RNA is filed under the name uncultured bacterium. RNAcentral describes it as "partial 16S ribosomal RNA". It matches the Rfam family "Bacterial small subunit ribosomal RNA", at positions 28 to 507 of the family's 1533-position model. The record is from RNAcentral.
GAUGAACGCUGGCGGCGUGCCUAAUACAUGCAAGUCGAGCGAACAGGUGAGGAGCUUGCUCCUCUGACGUUAGCGGCGGACGGGUGAGUAACACGUGGAUAACCUACCUAUAAGACUGGGAUAACUUCGGGAAACCGGAGCUAAUACCGGAUAAUAUAUUGAACCGCAUGGUUCAAUAGUGAAAGACGGUUUUGCUGUCACUUAUAGAUGGAUCCGCGCCGCAUUAGCUAGUUGGUAAGGUAACGGCUUACCAGGGCGACGAUGCGUAGCCGACGGGGGAGGGGGGUAGCCGACAUGAGAAGGUGAACGGACACAGGGGGCCUGAGGGAGGGACCAGAGGGAAACGGGCGGCAGUGGGGGAGAACAUGGCGGAACGCGCGGGCGUGGGAGGAAAAGGUGUCGGGAGCGAAAAGCUGUUUUUUGGGGGGAAAAAAGAUGUUGACUAACAAGUCGAGGUCGUGACGGUACUUAGUAAAAAAGCAACGGCUAACUCCGUG